Molecule: ribosomal RNA, 645 nt
Filed under: uncultured bacterium
Lineage: Bacteria
Description: bacterial SSU rRNA
Rfam family: Bacterial small subunit ribosomal RNA
Source: RNAcentral
GGGUGAGUAACGCGUAAGGAACUUGCCUCUUGGUCUGGGACAACUGUUGGAAACGACAGCUAAUACCGGAUAUUAUGAGAUUCUCGCAUGAGAAACUUAUGAAAGCUAUAUGCGCCAAGAGAGAGCCUUGCGUUCCAUUAGCUAGUUGGUGGGGUAACGGCCCACCAAGGCGACGAUGGAUAGCCGGCCUGAGAGGGUGAACGGCCACAAGGGGACUGAGACACGGCCCUUACUCCUACGGGAGGCAGCAGUGGGGAAUAUUGGACAAUGGGCCACAAGCCUGAUCCAGCAAUUCUGUGUGCACGAUGAAGGUCUUCGGAUUGUAAAGUGCUUUCAGUUGGGAAGAAGAAAGUGACGGUACCAACAGAAGAAGCGACGGCUAAAUACGUGCCAGCAGCCGCGGUAAUACGUAUGUCGCAAGCGUUAUCCGGAUUUAUUGGGCGUAAAGCGCGUCUAGGCGGAAAAAUAAGUCUGAUGUUAAAAUGCGGGGCUCAACUCCGUAUUGCGUUGGAAACUGUUUUUCUAGAGUACUGGAGAGGUGGGCGGAACUACAAGUGUAGAGGUGAAAUUCGUAGAUAUUUGUAGGAAUGCCGAUGGAGAAGUCAGCUCACUGGACAGAUACUGACGCUAAAGCGCGAAAGCGUG